Molecule: ribosomal RNA, 253 nt
Filed under: uncultured bacterium
Lineage: Bacteria
Description: partial 16S ribosomal RNA
Rfam family: Bacterial small subunit ribosomal RNA
Source: RNAcentral
UACGUAGGGUGCGAGCGUUAAUCGGAAUUACUGGGCGUAAAGCGUGCGCAGGCGGUUGUGUAAGACAGAUGUGAAAUCCCCGGGCUCAACCUGGGAAUGGCAUUUGUGACUGCACAGCUGGAGUACGGCAGAGGGGGAUGGAAUUCCGCGUGUAGCAGUGAAAUGCGUAGAUAUGCGGAGGAACACCGAUGGCGAAGGCAAUCCCCUGGGCCUGUACUGACGCUCAUGCACGAAGGCGUGGGGAGCAAACAGG